Molecule: ribosomal RNA, 465 nt
Filed under: uncultured bacterium
Lineage: Bacteria
Description: bacterial SSU rRNA
Rfam family: Bacterial small subunit ribosomal RNA
Source: RNAcentral
CCAGACUCCUACGGGAGGCAGCAGUGGGGAAUAUUGCACAAUGGGGGAAACCCUGAUGCAGCAACGCCGCGUGAGUGAAGAAGUAUUUCGAUAUGUAAAGCUCUAUCAGCAGGGAAGAAAUAGCGACCUUUGGGUCGCCAGACGGUACCUGAUUAAGAAGCCCCGGCUAACUACGUGCCGGCAGCCGCGGUAAUACGUAGGGGGCAAGCGUUAUCCGGAUUUACUGGGUGUAAAGGGAGCGUAGACGGCAGCGCAAGUCUGAAGUGAAAUGCCGGGGCUUAACCCCGGAACUGCUUUGGAAGCUGUGCAGCUAGAGUGCAGGAGAGGGAAGUGGAAUUCCUAGUGUAGCGGUGAAAUGCGUAGAUAUUAGGAGGAACCCCAGUGGCGGAGGCGGCUUACUGGACGGUAACUGACGUUGAGGCUCGAAAGCGUGGGGAGCAAACAGGAUUAGAUACCCCGGUACGC